RNAcentral lists this ribosomal RNA (257 nucleotides) under uncultured bacterium. RNAcentral describes it as "partial 16S ribosomal RNA". It matches the Rfam family "Bacterial small subunit ribosomal RNA", at positions 524 to 776 of the family's 1533-position model. The record is from RNAcentral.
UACGAAGGGGGCUAGCGUUGUUCGGAAUCACUGGGCGUAAAGGGCGCGUAGGCGGCUUUAUAAGUCGGGGGUGAAAGCCUAGUGGCUCAACCACCAGAAUUGCCUUCGAUACUGUAGAGCUUGAGACCGGAAGAGGUAAGUGGAACUGCGAGUGUAGAGGUGAAAUUCGUAGAUAUUCGCAAGAACACCAGUGGCGAAGGCGGCUUACUGGUCCGGUUCUGACGCUGAGGCGACGAAAGCGGUGGGGAGCGAACAGG